RNAcentral lists this ribosomal RNA (240 nucleotides) under uncultured bacterium. RNAcentral's name for it is "partial 16S ribosomal RNA". It matches the Rfam family "Bacterial small subunit ribosomal RNA", at positions 95 to 334 of the family's 1533-position model. The record is from RNAcentral.
CCGGCGCACGGGUGAGUAACGCGUAUGCAACCUACCUAUCAGGAGGGGAUAACCCGGCGAAAGUCGGACUAAUACCGCAUAAAACAGGGGUUCCACAUGGAAAUAUUUGUUAAAGAAUUAUCGCUGAUAGACGGGCAUGCGUUCCAUUAGAUAGUUGGUGAGGUAACGGCUCACCAAGUCCACGAUGGAUAGGGGUUCUGAGAGGAAGGUCCCCCACACUGGUACUGAGACACGGACCAG